AAUAAAUAAAUAAAAAAGUGCGUUGUGAAAGUGAAAGGGGUUUUGGACAAUAAUAAUUCAAUUGGUAGGUUUGUUUGUGAUGUGAAGAUUCCUGGAAAUGGGUGGAAAUACAUAAAUAUCUGUCUUACGUGGCUACCUGUUUUGGAUCUGAACGAGAACGGUCGUAUUUGCUUUUGGUCUUAUAGAUAGAUUCUGUUCUGUGUUAGACUAUAAUAAUAAUGAUUGAAAUUAAAAUUUGCAGAAUUGUUGUUUUUCUUUCUAUUAUUUCCAAUUAAAGAAAGAAACAAAACGUAUAAAAAACUUUAAAACGCAGACAAAGACUACAAAUUAGAAAUAGAAACUUUAGAAUAGAGUGAGGUUAACAAUACCUCUUUGAUAAAUUAGAAUAAGGUGAGGUUAUGUUGCAUAGUUGCGGGUACGGUAUCAAUAUCUGGUACCGGUAUGUGGUAUGACAUUUUUAAAAAAAUUAGGGUACGGGUACGUUCGUAUAUUUUUUUUUAAUAUAGUUAUAUUUUUAAAAUAAUAAAAUUAUAUUCUUAAAACAAAUAAUUAAACAUAAAAAGUAGCGAUUUUUAAAAAUAGUUAUAUUAUGGUUUACAAGUUUAGGAAAUUAGGAUUAGUAGUAUUAUGCUGCUACACUUUUAAAAAUAAAUAAAAAAAAGGAAGGAGACUGAAUCGAUUCUAAUUUUAAACUAAAGUGAAUCUUUAUUAAAAAAAUAAACAAAUAAAAAAAGAAUAGGAUUGAAAAGUGUUGCAAANNNNNNAAUAGUUUUUGAUGAAAUAUGUACCACGUAUGUACCCUGAGAGUACCACGCGCGUACCCCGGAAGUACCACGUGUGUAUCCGCAUGAAAAAACAAAAAAAAACUCGGUACUUUGAGGAUACGUACCAUGGAAGUACCAUACGCGUACCGGUACUCUGUCUAAAACAAAGUACCGGUGCAACAUAGGGUGAGGUAUAACGAGAGGUACUGUAAAUUUUUAAUCAAUUUUGUCUACAAAUCUUAUCCGAGUUUAUAAAAAUAUUGAAAUUGCUCGGUCAUAUAUUAUGAUUGGUAAUUGGAGUUCGAACUCUAAUUUUUUAUUUUGUGUGUAUUUCUAAUGAAUCGUCUUUUCAUUUAUCUAUUAAAAAAUUAAAAAAAAUAAUUUAAUCAAUUUUUACCUCAUAUGCGUAUUAAUUGUUGAAUAAAUACUAAUACUUAUAAAUUAAAUUCAUAAAUUAUUAAAAAGUAGUCUAAAAAGUCAUUGCGAUUAAAUAAAAAAAGUACAAAAUAGUUUCGUGAACUUAACUUAGUUGACAUGAUAUUUUAGUAUAUAUGAGGGCCGAAUUCCAACUCCGAUCAUCGGAUGAAAUUUUUUGUUACCGAAAACUACUUAAAAAAAAAAUACAAAAUGAAUAAACUUUGUACAACGCUUAUUUAGAAUAAUUAGAUGAAUAUUUUAUUUAUUUAGGGGUCAUACAUAUAACAUCCACUGGCAACGACAGAGAUAAAAUUGAAUACUGUCCUAACUCCUAAGUUUGCUAAUAUUGACCAUUACAUUUACUACUAUAUACUGUCUUAUAGACCAAUCGCUCAAAUACUUCUUUCGUGUGUAUAGUAUGAGUGAGACAUAUUAGCAACUGGUACCAUACAAAUUUGAUCCUGCCUUUAGUUUCAAAGUUAUCUUUGACCAGUUUCUAAGCAAGUGUUUGGACCCGAGUUGGACGUGAUUUUGGUCAAAUUCCAAGCAUAUUAUUCUAUCCGUAACACUUUAUAAGUAAAAAUCCAUUUUAUAGGUUCAUUGUAUAUUUAAUAUAUCUGACAUAUAAUAUUGAUCAAAUACAUUAAAUAUAUAAUGAACCUAAAAAACACAUUUUUGUUUAUAAAGUUUUACGAAAUAAGUAUACUAUAUUAGUCCUAGCUAAAUACUAGUACACACAAAGAGCCUUUUAGAUUGUGCCAUAUCUCCGCGGUUCACCAUCACAACCAAUUGGUCAAAAGAGGAAGUGAAAACUGUGGUUAUUGAAUUCAGGGACAGAACCAGAAAAAAUUGUGAAAGAUAACGAAAAUUAUAUAUAUUAAUAACAAACAUGGGUGAAGAUAAUAUAAAGGAGGAUCUUUCGGGUUGAAACCUAGCUAAAACUCGUGUAUUCUAUUUUUUUUUUUCACAAAUUCUUGUGAUUCUCCAUCAUAAAAAUAUGUUAAGGAAUAUGAUGAUCAGCAAAAGGAGUUGAUUAGGUUGAAGUGUAAAGCUAAGCUUAAGGGUGAAUUUUAUGUUAGAUUCUGAAAUUAAACUCUUGUUCACUAUCAGGAUCAGAUGUUGUGCCAUAUUCAAUAUCCUCGAUAACGAUAAUAUUAGGCACACUAUGAUAUACUCCUUCCGGUUCUUAAUAUAAGAGGAAGUUCAUUUUUUAGAUAAAUUGAAAUAUUGAUGAAUCUAGUUUAUAUACAUCAAUAUUUCAAUGUAACUAAAAAGUAAAUUUUUUCUUAUAUUAAGGAUCGAAGAGUAUUAAUGUAUGCACUAUUCUAACUUUUACUCACUUCAAUCUUAUACCAAUUUAAGUGUUGAAAUAUUUGGAGGUAAGGUACAUAUUUCACCAUUGACCAUCAUCUCCAUCUGAAAUUAUCACUUCCAAUCUAUAUUCCACUUGAAAAACCUCUUCAACAGAGCAUUUCUUUCGCAAAUCAAAAUAAAAACUUCCCACAAACUUUCUCUCAUGAUCACAUGCUAAACCCUCACAGAUAUGCUUUCCUUUGUUUGGAAGAUUUAUCAAUAUUGAGCUUUAAGACAAUUGUUGGAAUCAAGACCCUCUACAUUUUUCCUCCUCUCUAUUUUUUACUCUCCAUUUUUGUCGACCAUUACUAAAACUUUAAAAAAGUAAAUGCAAUGAUGUGGUAUUUGAUAGGUUUAAUGAUUUAAAUUUAAUAUAUAUCCUAAGGUUCAGUUUGAUAAAAAAAUUUGUUUGAUAAAAAAUAGCGGAUCAACUUAUAGCGAAUAACUUAUAAGCUAGUUUUUAGCUUAUAACGAAUAACCUCGAAUAACCUAUCUGAUUGAAUUUGUAGUGUGUGAUAAAAUUAGCGGUUAAACGAGCUUAUAAGUAUGAAAUAACAUAAAAAAAUAUAUAUUUAAUUAAUAUUUAAUUUUUUUCAAGAAGAUGUAGGGGUAAAAUUGGAAGAAAAAAUGACAAGUUAUAAGCUCAUAAACUACUUGAAAUAAGAUUUGAAAAAUAAGCUAUAAGCUAGUAAUAUAAGCUAUAAGCUUUUUUUAAAAAACUAUUAUCAACCAUAGCUUUUUUUAACCAAAUGACCUUAUAAGCUAUAAGCUAGCUUAUGUGUCUUCUCAAACAAAGCUAAACUCUAUAAAAUAUAGUGAUAGAGAGGGAAAACUAAUUAAAGCUCUGUUCGGGAAGGCCAAUAAACUAGUUUAUAGCUUUUAACUCUGUUUGGUAACAUUUUUUAAAAAAGAUCUUAUAGCUUAUUUUUCAAACGCUAUUUCAAGUAGCUUAUGAGCUUAUAACUUAUCAUAUUUUAUUCCAAAUUUACCCCUAUCAUCUUAGUUAAAAAAAAUUAAAUAUUAAUUAAACAUAUUUUUUAUGUGAUUUCAUACUAAUAAGCUAGUUCAACCGCUAAUUUUACCAAACACUACAAAUUCAAUCAACUAGUUUAUUCGUUAUAAGCUAAAAGCUAGUUUAUAGACUAACCGCUAUUUUUUUACCAAACAGAACAUAAGAAAAAAAAAAAAAAUUUUUUUUAUCUCACAUUAUUUUCUUUUUUUCUUUUUUUCAAAGACCUUGUUAGGCAUGGACAGUAUGCUAGAGACUAACAAGUGCAAUAGUUUUUUUUGGUAAUAGACGAACUAACAAGUUGAAUAUGAUAAAACAUUAGAAGCUAGACAGAAAAAUAGAGUAAAAAAAACCAGAAAAAUAUAACAAAUAUUAAAAACUAUUUUUUAUUUUCUCUUUAUUAACACAAAUUUUAAUACAUAAAAAUAGAAAACAAUUUCACAAAAUAAACGAUUCUAAUUGGGCUUAGUUUUUCUAAAUGAAGAGCCCUCUAAAUUUCUUCCAUAUAAACCUUAAUAUAAAAUAAAACUCUUAACGACAAAGAAUAAAAUAUUUUCCGUAAAAAAAAAAGGAAUAAAAUAUUUGGUACCCUUAAAAAACUAGUGAUUUGUGGCGACUACAUACCUUAAACAUGUUCAUGAUCGUCAUUGCAUUUACAAUAUGUUAUAUAACUAAUUAUUAAGUUGAUAAUAAAAUUUAAGGUCUAGAUUAGAGUUCUUUGAAAUGGACGACUCCAAAUAUUAAAUUUGAGUUUUUCUUUUAUUCCAAAGAUGGUUAGUUAAUUUAUUUGUAAUGUUCAAAUUUGAAUGAGGAUAUGUUAUUACUUAAAGUAAUUUAACAUGUAAUUAGUCAAACUAAGUGACGAUGUGAACAAAGUAGUGUUAGGAAAUAUGUAGUAAAAUAAAAUCUUUGCUUUAACUCAAGAAUAUUCUACAUGUCAAUUUUUUUGACACAAAGGUAUUGUGCAACAUUAGCUAAUGUUUGUUUAGUUUAUCUAAUUGGAAUAAUGAAGAAAUUUACACCCUCUUUUCUGUCAUAAUAGAUGACUGUUUGUGUUUUAUUUUUUAAAAUAAAAGAUAGAAUGAAGAUUUAUCAAAGUUUCAAAGUGAGAAAUUGAUACAAAGUAGGCCACCUUUCUCCAUUGAAUAUGGAUGGGCAAAUACGACCCAACAACUAGUAUUCUUUAACAAGAAGGCCCAAAGGAUUGUAAUUAUUAUUCACAACUUACAAGUAAAUUAGUACAACCAAAUUCAGCAGUCAUCCAUGUAUUUAAAUAAAAAAAAAUCAAUAUUUUUUUAACGUCAAAUAUAUUAUUAAUAAUAAUCAUGUUUCUGCACAAGACGAACAAAAUCCUGUAAAAUGGAGCUACAAAACAGAGACACCAUAUUUAAGCGGAACAUCAAUGAAAAUACCAGACACCACCUAAUAUGGUCCACUUCUAAUCUCAUUUUUAGAAAGACAUUCCUCAACUUCCAGACUACAAGAGAAGACAUCAACCCGACCCAUAGAGAUGCUACUAGACACUAACUCCCGAUCUCGAAUCAAAAGUGACUGACCUGCCAGAAUCCAAAAAACAGCUCCUUGAGUCAAAAUUUGAUGGAACACCGGUAGAAAAAUAAUCUAGAUAGAUAAAUCUUAGCUCGCACACUACGUCCAAAUAGUCCAUUAACAUUAUUACACAAAAUGGACACAUAUAUGCUACCAAUUUUUCUUAUAUAGGUAAAAUUUCUAAUAGAGGCUUUAGUGACAUAUAUAGAGAGUAUAAUUGUUAAUCAACAACACGUGAUAUAAGUGAUAAAUACUUAAAUCUAUCGAUUAUUUAGUCAUGAGUUGUCUCUACACUUAGGGGCAGUAGUGUUAAUCACAUAUAUCUCAAAUUACUAAUAAUAUUUUGCCGUAAAAAAAAAAUAUAAAUUAUGUUCUUCCCCAAACUAAACAAACCAAAUCACAUUUCCACUCCCUUCUCUUUUAAGUAAAGGUCAAUCCAAGGUUGUCAAGUCAAUCAUCUUAUAUACCUCCUAAAAAAUAUAAAACUUGUCCUUAGUUAAAAUAUCUAGACCAAGCACAAAGUGUUCAAAAUAUAGAUCAAGAAAGUAUAUAAGCAAUAAUACAUCAGCAUAUAUAAAACAAAAUACUAGCAGAAAAUACAAAAAACUCUACAACAGUAUCAAAGGCACCACACACUUGACAUCUAAAAUUGACUUAGACUCCUUCAAAAAAAUCUCUAAUUGACUCUUUUUCUUUUGAAACAAAAAUCUAUAAUUGACUUAGACACCAAAUUACUCCUAGAUUGAUUGGUAAUCCAACAAAGCCGCUAGUAAGAACAUCAUUAUUUUUUAUCUAUGUAUUUAUUUACAAAUAGUUAAAAAUAUCAGUUUAUUUUAUAUGUGAUCACCCUUUUAAUUAAGUUAUAUGUCCCUUGUUAUUUAUAUAUUUUUUCAAAAAACAUUAAGUUAUUUAAAUAUCACUCUCUUUGCAUUUUUGUUGUUGUUGUUGUUGUAAACUCAAUAAUAAUUCAUUCAUAAUAGGGAGUAGUUUGGAAAAAUUAUAGCAGGAAACACAAAAAAAAAAUUGUAAAAGGACUACACAAGAUAUGAAUGCAAUGUUUGGAAAAAUAAGCCUUUUUAACCAAUUAACGAACCAAACCAAUGAAGAUAAUUUCAUUGGUUCAAACAUUUUUUUAACUAAAAAUCGGUCUCAACCGAUCGAUUACACCUCUAAUUUUUUCACAUCUAAAUAGAUAAAUAUGAUGAUAAGCGAUUCUUAAAGAACAAUGGAAGGUGAGUAAAAAAAAAGGAAGGGUCUUGCUAACAAGUUCCUUUGGAGCACUUGUUAAAAAUUAAAAGGGAAAUAAUAGAAAAAUUAUGCAUUGAAUAAACUAAAAUUUAAACUUCUAAAGUGUUAACUAUACAAAUUUCAAGAAAAUAUUUUUAAAUUUAAAUUCUUAACAAGUGGGUACUUCUUAGUAUUUCGAAAGAAUAAGAUGAUUUCUCUUUUCAACCCCAAAUUUCUCUUUUCGUGCAAAAAACUUCGAUCUCUUUCCACCCCCAAGUGGGGUAGUUCUUAAUUUUGCUCGAAAAGAAAAACUUGGGAGUAGAGAGAAACCAUCAAAGAAUAAUGGGAGAGGUGGGAAAAGAAGCUCCUUCCAAUUAACAUAAUAAUGGGCUGCUAAAGCCCAUUCAAAAUUUAGACUACUUGGGGAGAAAUUUUUGAACUAUAUAGCUCAACAUAAAAAACCAUGUGAAUGUGGAUGUUCAACAAAACAAGGGGCUAAGGAAGAUAAUUGACUUUCUUGCUCUAGGUAACUAGGUUGUUUUGUAUAGUUCGAUUCAACACGAGGCAUACAUGAGGCAGCCAAAGGUUUCUAAGCUCAUGUUUGAACCCACAUAUGCUAACAUGAGGAGUGCGUCAAUGUUCAUGUGGCAAGAUAUGCUGGUGUAGUAUGUGAGUCACUUUCAUAUGUGUGUUGAUAGACUAAAAUUUAGAGGUCAAAAGUGCUAUUAUGAAAGUUAGUAGACAAAAAUCUCAAGUUUACGAAAGUUAGGGAAAAAAAAUUCAAUUUAAACUUGUAUUAAACAAUUUGGGUCUUGUAUGAUUUUGAUCUUUAUAUUUUCUUUUCUGUCUCUUUGUAAACUCUGGUAGCCUAUCUCGGCACAUCUUGUGCUGAGGAGACUGUUUUUAGUUAAUAUAUAUCUCAUUUUAGCUUCUUCAAAAAAAAAACUUAUAUUAAACACAAGGUGAGAGAGGUAUUGGACCGGAGUUUGCAAGGAAUUUUUUAUUUUUAAAUCAUAAUUUUUUUUUCAUACUUUUCACUAUUUAUUACGUACCAGUACCGGUAUUCUUUUAACAUUUUUCAUGCUAUUGUGAAAAAUGAUUUUAUAAAAUUAGUCAUAUUUUAAUUUUCCGAUACAAAAUUAACUAUAUUUUUUAAUUUGUAUAAAAUUAUUAAGGUAAUUUAUAAUUUGAGAUGAAAGUAGUGGUAUAUAUAUUGUAAGAGAACGUUGUUAAUUUUGCUUGACAAAUUGACAUAAUGGCAACUGAUCACAUGAACAAAUACAUUUGUAUCUAUCUAACUAGAACAAAUACAUUUGUAUCUACAACGUACCUAAUACAUGCAUGCAUGUCUCUGAAGCUAUAAUGCCAAAUUGGGAAGUAUUUACACAAAUAUCAGAGUUUGUUGUGGCAGCUCUUGUUAUCAAUGCAGUCCACUCAAUUCAAUGGUGAUAUGUUGUACUAAUUGUUCUAUAUAUAUUGGUUAUCAAAUUUGUUCUGUUUAACACUUAAAUUUUAAAAUUCUUUUCUAAUUUCGUUAAUUUUAAAGCAUCGAUCUAUACAUAUAAAAUGAUAUAUAAUUUUUUCAAACACACAUAAUUCGUAUCCUAAACAUCUGAAACUUGACUUUCAAAUGGUCCCAUAACACAUGAGACCAAAUGAAUGUUGUAUGAACUUUGAUAUCGUUACAAAAUCAAAUGUGAAAAUCGCACCUCAUUUAUAAACACAUUACACUAAUUGCUUUAACUAUAUAUAAUAUACAAUUAGGCUUAUUCUAUGCACAUUAGACUGAGCAAUUGAAUGGUUAGACAAGUUGCUUAGUUAAAGGUAAAUUGGCCGUACAUUUUCCAGAGAGCAACUUGCUAAAGCUAUCAUACCUAUCUAAGGUAGCUUAGCUGUAUAACUACAUAUAUAUAUCAAGCACAAUUCAAUGGAUCACUCUUUAUUUCUGUCCAUAUAUUACGGUUCCCAUUGAAUGAGCUUGUUUUCUCAUCCAACUUGACAUAUCAAAAAUGAAAAUUAGCAAAGAUUGAAUUCAUAUAGAUAUUCCAAUUUUAGUGUUUCUUUGCGCAUGGAUGUGUGGUCACUGGUCACUGGUCAGUGGCAAUAUAUUCCAAAGAUGAAUAGUGAUUAAUUGCUUAAGUUUCAAAUAAGCUCUGACAUUACACCAAACCAUGAUCUAAUAUGGUUGUUUUACAUCACAUUAAUCCUCAAUUGGACCACUUGUGAAUAUAAUUAUUGAAGCAAAUUGGUUUUAGGUGAAAAUAAUAGUACAUGCAUGCAUGUAUGUAAUAUAACUAACAACCAUAUAUAGAUUGAUGAAAUGUAGUGUAUUUAAUCAUAAAACCAUGGGCCAAAGGAAGGAAUUGCUAUAUAUUCUUACAUAACAUUAAACGAAAACCAACAACUAUAUAUGUAAAGAUGGAUAGUACGUACAGACAGAACAUUAACUAUUUGAUAAAAUUCAUCAAGCUACCAAUUUUUUUGUCUAGUUCUCAGGGGAAGGGGCCCUCAAUUGGUCACGAGAUAAGUAAAAUCUGAUAAAAAAUUGUUUCUACUAAAAGUUAAAUUCGAAUUCUUUCGAACGAUUCGUCCUAGAGGAACUCAUUAGAUAACACUAAUUAGUUUAGAGUGUCUUUGGAUUGGAUAAUUAGAAUUCUUGUAAUUCAAAUGCUUAAAUUGAAUUUAUUUUAAAUGUUUGUUUGGAUAGAGUAUUUAAACUAUUCCUUUGAAUAAAAUAAGACCAAUUUGCAAAUUUUAAAAAUUUAUGGGAGUAGCUUUGCAAUUUUUGAAAAUUAAUAUGGACCAAUAAUUUGCAAAAUUUAAAAAACAUAGCUACCUAAGGACCAAUUUGCAAAAUAUAAAUAAGGAGUAAUGCGUAAAUUUUUUAAACAUAUAAAGACCAUUUCGAGAUGAUUUUUUUUCUUUCUAAUUUACCUCUUGAUAAUUUGAAGGUAUUUACCUAUCAAUCAAUGAAAACAAACUAUAUGCAUACUCGGUAACAAUUUUGUGGUAUUUGAAAUUCCCCAAAUUUAAUUUUGAGAUUAACCUUUAUUUAAAGUAAAGGCCUAUUAUCUUUCAAAAGUGGUACGUACCACUCUUUUUUUCUUCGUUUAACAAUAUUUUUGAAAAAAAUAUCCAAACAUUAUUGUUGAGGAAUAUUUCAAUUGUAUUGAGAGCUAAAAGUCUCAUGCACAUGAAUAGUUUAGAGAACAAUUCAACGGUGUAUUUAAUCUUAAUAACAAAGAAUAAUUUAUUUUGCGCAUCUCAUUACGAAGUUGUUUUGUGUCAUUGUAUUGAGGCUCAUAUCCUAGGACACAUUCAUACAAACAUACGGGAAAGGAUUGAGUGCAGCAACUAUACGUUGACUCAUUGAUAUUAGUCGUCAGAUUUAAAUUAAUGGAUGAGAUGUAUUGAUAAUAGAUUGAUCAUUAGGGAUGACAAUAAGUAGGAUAUGAUACAAUACUCAUUUCUAUACCUGCGAUUAAAAAAAUUACAUGUGUGCCUAUACCCAUACCCGUGUGGGUAAAAAAGCUUUGUACCCGUGUUCAUGCCAUAUGAGUACCUAAGUACUCCCGUACCCGCAAUUUUGCUAAAAAUAAAUCGAUCAGUUAUUCAAUAUUAUAUAUAUCAUUUUAAUAAAAUUAUAUUUUUUUCAACGAUUUUAGUGUUAACUCAUGAAAACUAUAAACAAAAUUAUUAAUAAUCUCUUGCUAAAGUUCAUAUCUUUAUUGACAUAUUCCCAUUUUGUUUGCAUUAUGUUAUAAAUAAAUAUAUUUAUUAAAAUUGUGUAAUAGUUUAAUAGUAUUUUAUUUUGUAAAAUUGAUAUACACAAUGUAUUAUUAUAUAAUAAUAUAAUAACUAUAUGAAUUUAAUUUAUAUAUUGCACCGUCGGUGUAAAGUUAUUUUAUACAUGCGUCCAAUAAUAUAUCGACACAUCAUGUAUGAUAUUUAAAAACACAUGAUGUGUCACAUUUAUUAAAUGAUAUGGCAACGCUUCAUUAGAUGUAUGUGUAAAAAAUCUUUACACUGACUGUGUACAACAAUUAAACUCCAAAUAUAUAUUAUGUGGGUAUGGCGCGGGGUGAGUACUAAGGUUCCGCACACUCGCUUGUUUUUGUGAGUAAUUAUUCAUACUCGUGUCCGUACCCAAAGUGCAGGUUUUUACCGUACCUAUUGUAAAUAUUUUUUGCGGGUACUCACUGAAUAUAUGUCAAAUUAUCAUCCCUAUUGAUCAUCAUCGUCCGAUCUAAAAUCAAUGGCUGCAAUCUAAAACAGUGGAAAACUAUGUCAAAAAUAACAGCAAUGGAUCUGAAUCCCCCCAGAUAUAUAUAUAUAUAUAUAUGACCAAAAAAUUAAUUUAUUCGUUUCAAUCAUGCAUCGACCAAAAUUCAUCAUAGGAGAUUGGAAAAAGAAUGAGGAAUAUGCUGACUAAGGAUGAAGANNNNNNNNNNNNNNNNNNNNNNNNNNNNNNNNNNNNNNNNNNNNNNNNNNNNNNNNNNNGGGGAUAGGGGCAUAUCUUUAAUUAUGUUUCCCACUUUUAAUGAUGAAGUCAAGGCAAGUGGUUGAUGUGGAAUAGGGAUGGUGCCCAUGAAUAUGUUGGUUGGAGCCCCUCAUGCUGCAUGGUUUGGGAGAAAUAUUUAGUGGUUAAGGGUGUGGUGGGUGUGUGAUUAUGCUUGUAUCUUACCAAGACAACCAAUGGGACACACACUAUAUGUUGAAAAUAAAAUGGUCAUUUCGUUUUAUCUAUAGGAUUAAUGGAGUGUCUUUAUGGUAAGAUGGAUCUUUCAACCAAUCAUUGUUUUAUUAUGUAAAUACAAUGCACUAUGCUUAGCUCUCUGAUUUUGAGAGGAAAUAAUGGUCUUAGUCAAAACAAGAUACAUGCAUGAUUCCAUUACAAGAGAUAUAUGUACAAAUGAAAGAUUUUCUUUUACUCUUGUGAUUUUUGGUGCACAAUGGAUGAUGCAUCUCGAAUUUCAUUCAUUAAAAAUUGUCAUAUUAUAUUAUUUUACAUAAAUUAAGAAGAUAAAAAAUGAAAGAAAUACAAUAAUUAUUUUACCAAAUUAAUUUUAUUAAUCAUUUAUGUAUUCCUAUUAUCAUCAAUAAACAGCGAAGAAUAAUAACUUGAAAAUGUUGCACAUUAUAUUAUACUACUAACUAGAUAGUACUAUUUGAAAAAUAAUAAUUAAAAUUACAUUUAAAACUAAAAGUGACAACAAUUUAUAAUUUUUUUCUUUAAAUGUGACAAUUAUUAUAGGACACACAACGAGUAAUUUUUUUGAUAGGUCAAAUAGUAAUUUAUUAACAUGUUCAUGUCUUAACCGAAUCAAAUCAAAAUUGCCAGUUGAUUAAAAAAAAUCUCGAGAUGCUUAUAUUAACUCUUAUUGAAUUUCCUUUCAUAAAAAUCGCACAGAUUUGAUUGAAUUUCUGGAUUUUUUUCAAAAAUGAAUUAAACUAUUUAAGCAUUCCAUUUAAAGAAAUUUUUUAUUCAAAAAGUUAAACACUACAAUUUCCAAUGCGUUGACUUUACGCAUUUCGAUAAAAAUUCUAUAAAAAGUUUACUAUUUAAGGGCUUAAAGAGUGCCCCGAGGGCACUAUUUAACAUUUGCCUAAUUUUUUUCAUUAGUAUGAGAUAUUGUGUUAAUAUAUAUGUUGGUUUUUGUUUUAAAAAUAAUACUUAAUAGUUUAACUUAAUUUAUUUAUUUUACGAAUAUUUGUUAGUUUAAUUAAAUGCGAUUUUUUGAGAGUCAUUCAAAUUAAGCCUCGUUUGAUUUUAAGCAUUAUAUGAGAUGCUUUUUUCCUUUAAAAUCAAUUUAAACUGCACCAUGAUCACUCAUUUCGGGAUAAAACUAUCAAAAGAGCGUAGUUUUUCAUCUUUUUUACCAAAUAAGUGUAGAUUUUAAACAAAUUAUACAAAUGUGGUAAAGACAUCGCCGCCACCAACAACUUACUCAUGUAUUCUUGACACAUGACUAGUAAAAUAUUGUACCUCUAAUUGUCUGCUUAAGGAGCCCGAGACUCAUUAGAAUAUUACUUAAAGAACCAAAAUUUCUUUUCGUAGAUUUCUUAAAGAAUAUUUUAAAAAUAUUUAUAAAAAUAUUUACAUGUAUAAAUUUAUAACCUACUAGAGUACUAGACCCAAAACAUACUCCAAACAUAACAUACAUUUUAUUGCUUACAAUUGGAGUCACCUCUAAGCCUACAAUUGAUUGCUUUGACGGAGACAACGGACAUUUGGGCAUAAUUAUGUUUUCAUAUUUGACUAAAUGCUCGAAAAUUCAGAAUCAUGUUCCCAGAUUUAUUUACAAAGACUUCAACUAAUCUACCAAAAUUCAAAAGACUUGAUCAAAAUAAAAUAUAUAGUCAAAAUACAUCCCCCCAAACACAGCAAAAUCUAUCCUAGCUACAUUUCUUUCCCCCAAGUACGUACUACUUUAUGAAAAAAA
This 12761-nucleotide long non-coding RNA is filed under the name Trifolium pratense (red clover). Its description in RNAcentral is "long non-coding RNA (TPRA_LNC006781)". The record is from RNAcentral. Lineage: Eukaryota; Viridiplantae; Streptophyta; Magnoliopsida; Fabales; Fabaceae.